Molecule: long non-coding RNA, 1328 nt
Organism: Ictalurus punctatus (channel catfish)
Lineage: Eukaryota; Metazoa; Chordata; Actinopteri; Siluriformes; Ictaluridae
Source: Ensembl
CAGCUCUUCCUUUCACUUAUUUUACGUGAUUUUUUUUUACGUGUGAAACACGUGAAGUUGGAUUCGAGCGAACACGAGAAACUGUGUGAAUUAUACGUGGUAAAGGACAAAAAAUAACAAAAGAUUCAGAAAAAUACUCUGCGGUCAUGGAUAUCAAACAAUUGCAAACAAAACACAGGUUUAUCAAAAAAAAAAAAACUUUGUUAAAUAUAGGUGUGCAACAAUUAUUGGCACCCUUUUAGUCAACACUUUGUGCUAGCUCCCUUUGCCAAGAUAACAGCUUGUCCUAUAACGCCUGAGGAGGUUGGAGAAGACAUGGCGAGGGAUCUGAGAGCGUUCCUCCAUACAGAAGCUCUCCAGAUCCUUCACGUUUCCAGGUCCACGCUGACGGACUCUCCUCUUCAGUUCACUCCACAGGGUUUCUAUGGGGUUCGGGUCAGGGGACUGGGAUGGUCAGGGCAGGAGCUUGAUUUUGUGGUCAGUAAACCGUUUUUGUGUUGAUUUUGAUGAUGUUUUGGAUCAUCGUCCUGCUGGAAGAUCCGACCACGGCCCAUUUGAAGCUUGGCAUGAUUUGAAAAAACACAUGCUUCGACACUUCUGAAAAAUUGAAAAUGACAUGAAAAAUAAAGCCACAAGCUUUUAAAAUCACAAAGAACCUGAAGUAAUUAUUGACAUGCUGCAUGAAAAUCAUAAAAUGAAUGAAGCGUGUUAAAAAAGAACAAUCCUCACAUGAAAACGAGUCAAACGUGAAGUGUUUAAAAGUGUUUUCACGUUUAACUUGUGAUUAUUCACGUGAAGUUUGUGCAACUUUUCUUUUCUUUUCUUUUCUUUUCUUCAUUGUAUCCCUCUGUUCUUUCUAGAAUUGGGACUUGAAGACUUGAUUUCAUUGAAUGGACAUUUUACAGUGAGGUUCGUUCAGGACAUGCAUUGUGGACAGACACGGCCCUCGAGCGGCGAGACGCUUGAAAAUACCAGGGAGGACUGUGGCGUAGUACGUUUGGCUCGCACCUCCAGGGUUGGGGUUCGAUUCCUGCCUUCACCCUGUGUGCGUGGAGCUUGCAUGUUCUCCCCGUGCUUCGGGGGUUUCCUCUGGGUACUCCAGUCCAAAGACACGCGCGGACGUCGUGAGUCCUCUUUCGGCUCGUCUCUGUGUGUCUGCAGCAGCUCGACUCACAUCAAAGGGGGCAAUAGAGGAUUGGUCCCGACAAAUGCGCAAGCAGUAAAACUUAACAAGGUGUGAAUGUCCUCUCGUUGCCCUGGCCAGCGACGUACAGAGGGUGCCUGCUUCUGUCCUUAGGCCAUGUGUGUGUGUGUGUGUGUGUGUGUGU